GGGAAGCUUACCAUGCAGUCGAACGAUGAUGCCCAGCUUGCUGGGCGGAUUAGUGGCGAACGGGUGAGUAAUACGUGAGUAACCUGCCCUUGACUCUGGGAUAAGCCUGGGAAACUGGGUCUAAUACUGGAUACUACCUCUUACCGCAUGGUGGGUGGUGGAAAGGGUUUUACUGGUUUUGGAUGGGCUCACGGCCUAUCAGCUUGUUGGUGGGGUAAUGGCUCACCAAGGCGACGACGGGUAGCCGGCCUGAGAGGGUGACCGGCCACACUGGGACUGAGACACGGCCCAGACUCCUACGGGAGGCAGCAGUGGGGAAUAUUGCACAAUGGGCGGAAGCCUGAUGCAGCGACGCCGCGUGAGGGAUGACGGCCUUCGGGUUGUAAACCUCUUUCAGUAGGGAAGAAGCGAGAGUGACGGUACCUGCAGAAGAAGCGCCGGCUAACUACGUGCCAGCAGCCGCGGUAAUACGUAGGGCGCAAGCGUUGUCCGGAAUUAUUGGGCGUAAAGAGCUCGUAGGCGGUUUGUCGCGUCUGCUGUGAAAGCCCGGGGCUCAACCCCGGGUCUGCAGUGGGUACGGGCAGACUAGAGUGCAGUAGGGGAGACUGGAAUUCCUGGUGUAGCGGUGAAAUGCGCAGAUAUCAGGAGGAACACCGAUGGCGAAGGCAGGUCUCUGGGCUGUUACUGACGCUGAGGAGCGAAAGCAUGGGGAGCGAACAGGAUUAGAUACCCUGGUAGUCCAUGCCGUAAACGUUGGGCACUAGGUGUGGGGGACAUUCCACGUUUUCCGCGCCGUAGCUAACGCAUUAAGUGCCCCGCCUGGGGAGUACGGCCGCAAGGCUAAAACUCAAAGGAAUUGACGGGGGCCCGCACAAGCGGCGGAGCAUGCGGAUUAAUUCGAUGCAACGCGAAGAACCUUACCAAGGCUUGACAUUCACCGGACCGCCCCAGAGAUGGGGUUUCCCUUCGGGGCUGGUGGACAGGUGGUGCAUGGUUGUCGUCAGCUCGUGUCGUGAGAUGUUGGGUUAAGUCCCGCAACGAGCGCAACCCUCGUUCUAUGUUGCCAGCACGUGAUGGUGGGGACUCAUAGGAAACUGCCGGGGUCAACUCGGAGGAAAGUUGGGGAUGACGUCAAAUCAUCAUGCCCCUUAUGUCUUGGGCUUCACGCAUGCUACAAUGGCCGGU
RNAcentral lists this ribosomal RNA (1185 nucleotides) under Kocuria sp. RNAcentral's name for it is "bacterial SSU rRNA". It matches the Rfam family "Bacterial small subunit ribosomal RNA", at positions 41 to 1238 of the family's 1533-position model. Lineage: Bacteria; Bacillati; Actinomycetota; Actinomycetes; Micrococcales; Micrococcaceae. The record is from RNAcentral.